CAAUAGCGUAUAUUUAAGUUGUUGCAGUUAAAAAGCUCGUAGUUGGAUUUCGGGUGGGACGCAGCGGUCUCGCAUUGCGUUUGUACUGCUGCAGCCCUCCUUCUUGCCGGGGGCGGCCUCUCGGACUUCACUGUCUGGGGGUCAGAAUCGGCGAUGUUACUUUAAGUAAAUUAGAGUGUUCAAAGCAAGCUUACGCUCUGAAUAUAAUAGCAUGGGAUAACACGACAGGACUCUGGCCUAUCGUGUUGGUCUAUAGGACCAGAGUAAUGAUUAAGAGGGACAGUCGGGGGCAUUCGUAUUCCGUUGUCAGAGGUGAAAUUCUUGGAUUUACGGAAGACGAACAUCUGCGAAAGCAUUUGCCAAGGAUGUUUUCAUUGA
Molecule: ribosomal RNA, 378 nt
Filed under: uncultured eukaryote
Lineage: Eukaryota
Description: partial 18S ribosomal RNA
Rfam family: Eukaryotic small subunit ribosomal RNA
Source: RNAcentral